GCCUUUUGACAUCUCAAAUUUUUUUCCAAAAGAUGCUCCACUCUAUCGUUCGUGCCCCAAUGUCCUUCUUUGACUCAACGCCAUCUGGGAGGAUUUUAAACAGGGUCAGUACUUAGUUUAAUCUCUCAUUUAUGUAGUUAAAUUUCUUAUUCUUGUAAUUCCUGAAUUGUAAAUAGUUAUAUAGUUUUGUGCUUAAGACUAAUAGUUUCUUAUUAUGAAUUAUUUGUAGGCUUCUAUGGAUCAAAGUGUGCUUGACUUAGAAUUAGCUGGGAAAUUAGGUUGGUGUGCAUUCUCAAUUAUACAGAUUCUGGGGACUAUUGCAGUCAUGUCGCAGGUUGCUUGGCCAGUUUUCGCAAUAUUCAUUCCAGUGACAGCAAUCUGUAUAUGGUAUCAAGUAAGAACACUCUCAUUCAAAAAUAUACUCAGAAAAAUAUUUAAGAUUUUUUGUUGAUAUCAAAGAAUGUCAACAUAGAUAUUCUUGAAUAUUGAGAGAAACAAUUUGACUGUUUUCUUUUUCUUUUUCCUCAAACUGUAGUUCCCAUGAUUUAGUUGUGUGCUAGGAUGGAUGAUAAUACAUAAGAGGAUUUACCUACGGAAAUAUACUCAACUUUGGCCAUGAUUUAGUUAGAUUUUCAGUUUAAUGAAUGAUUAAAUCAUUUUGACAAUUUGAAGACUGAAUUUUUGACAAUGACUAAUGCAGCAAUACUACAUACCCACUGCAAGAGAGUUGGCUCGGUUGUCAGAAAUCCAGAAAGCUCCGAUCCUUCAUCAUUUUGGAGAAUCACUCUCUGGUGCUGUAACUAUUCGAGCAUUUGGGCAGAAAGACCGUUUCAGCAAUACAAACCUCAGUCUCAUAGAUAAUCACUCAAGGCCAUGGUUCCAUAAUAUUUCUGCAGUGGAAUGGCUCUCAUUCAGAUUGAAUUUGUUAUCCAACUUUGUGUUUGCUUUCUCAUUGAUUGUGCUUGUGAACCUGCCAGAAGGAUUUCUUAAUCCAAGUGAGCAUAUUCAAGUGAAAUAUUCAUUUACCUAAAUUUUACUUGAUAAUACCUUUCAUAUAAGUCUGUUAAUCUAAAUGAAAUUUCAUGUGUAUGUUGUACAGGCAUUGCAGGACUUGUUGUGACAUAUGGAUUAAAUCUCAAUUCACAGCUAGCAACUAUCAUCUGGAAUAUAUGCAAUGCACAAAAUAAAAUGAUCUCAGUUGAGAGAAUUAUGCAGUACUCAAGGAUUCCGGGUGAAGCUCCUAUACUCAUAGAAGGCUGCCGACCACCAACCAAUUGGCCACAUUUUGGAACUAUAUGCUUCAGGAACUUAGAGGUAUAACUUAGAACUCAAACUCCAACAUCACAUGCAUGUUUAUGCAUAAUCAAGAGUCAUACUUAAAGACAACCAUACUAAUUGGCAGGUUUUUUUCCAUUUGAAACGAUAGAUUUCAUAUAACAAAAAGUCAAAUAGUAUGCAUAGAACAUGCUAACAGUUGGUUUCACUCAAUGUCCAGUCAGCCUUCUUUUGUUCUUGCUACUGUGGGAGGUGUGACGGGACAUCUUUUUUCUGAGUACUGUUGAUGCAAAUUAUUCAUUUCAUAAUUUCAUAAUACUGGUUAACAGUUGAAGUUAUCUUCAAAUAAAUUGUAAACUUAUAUUCCGAAACAUUGCAACUUUCUUAAAGUAGAAAUUUUACAAAUUAUGAUAUAAUUUCCAUGACACAACAAAAUGGGAAUUUCCUGUAAGGCUUAGUGGGCUUACAUAUGAUUUGACUUCUUAGACUCUCAAGUCUCAACAAGUAUAAACUAUCAGAUGGAUGAAAGCCAGUUGAGCAGUCCUAUCUUUGCCCAAGUCACCAUGGGUGAUGUAUGAGUACAAUCAUUAGACCCACUGUGUCAAGACUUGCUCCAUUUGCAGUUCUUUUAGACAGAUGCUUAGCUCCACGGAGCUCAAUUCAAGUCUGUAUUUUAUUCUUGAUUUCUUUAGCAGAACUGAUUGACUUUGCUAGGUUCUUCUAAUAGCCAUAAUUUCCUUUCCUAGCUAGGCAGUACCAACACUGAAGAUUCAACUAGUUUGAUCUGCACAAACAAGGAUAUUGUGUCCAGAUCUGAAGCGUUAGGUCAUUUCUAUAAGAUAAUAGAGACCACAAUCUCAUCUGCAUUUUUGCUUAGAUCACAGUUUCAUCUGUUUGCCAGAGAGCAACGCUGUUGCAAAUAUUAGGUGAAUUUUUACCCUUUUCAUAGUCAUAUUAGAUUGGUCAAAUAGAUAAAAGUUUGAAUUUUUUUCCUUUAAGAACAAGCAUUGCUUCUCUUGGGAAUUUUGGUCAUGGAGAUCUCAUGGCCCAAGAUACGUACAUCUUGAUCAUGUUAUGCAAAUGAAUUUUGUAUUCAACUUUAACAAGUUCUCCUUUUUCCUUACUUCUACAGGUUAGAUAUGCUAUUUUCUGAUGCCUUAAAGCUUCCUGUUGUUGUUGUUUGUACAGGUCAGAUAUGCUGAACAUUUGCCAUCUGUCUUAAAAAACAUAACAUGUAUAGUUCCAGGAAGAAAAAAGGUUGGUGUUGUAGGACGAACUGGCAGUGGCAAAUCAACUUUGAUACAAGCUCUUUUCCGUAUCGUUGAACCAAGAGAAGGGACCAUUGAAAUUGAUGAUGUCGACAUCUGCAAGAUAGGCCUCCAUGAUUUGCGCUACAGACUCAGCAUCAUACCGCAAGACCCAAUAAUGUUCGAGGGAACAGUGAGGGGAAACCUUGAUCCAUUGGAGGAAUACUCAGAUAGCAGGAUAUGGGAGGUAAGUUGUUUCUUAAAACCAAAAUUUUUAUAAUAUAGGAAUCCAAGAAGAUAACUACGGCCAUGAUUAUUAAGCGAAGGUCUGAUGAAUCAGAAACAUAUGAGUAUUCAAAAAAUAGAGUUGCUAGAAGCAAACUUAGAAACUAUUAAUUGACUAUAUAUCGCAGACCAAGUUGAGGAUAAAUCCUGCCCUGCAUAAUUUGAGUUUAUCUAAAUCUAUUAGCAUUCAGUUCAUGUUGAACGAGAGAUUUAACUCAGAUGGUUAAGUUUCUGAAUGGAAGAUGUUUCUUGUCAUCCGUGCUCUGUAUGUAACUGUCUUUAAGAAACAAAAAUCUAAAUCCUAUAUAAGUGUAUACUAAUCAGAAGAUUGACAGAUACAUUAUGAUCACUCAGGUUCUAGACAAGUGUCAGCUCGGUGAUUUGAUACGCCAAAGCAGCAAGAAGCUGGAUUCAACUGGUAAGGCAUGUGCAGGAGGUCUUGGCAUAUGACAACAUAUUUAUGGUCCAUAACUACUUGAAUGGUAUGAUCAGUUAUUAUUACUAGUUUAAUAAUUGAAGGGGGGGCUUCAUACAGUUAUUGAAAAUGGCGAAAACUGGAGUGUCGGACAGAGGCAGCUAUUCUGUCUAGGAAGAGCGCUGUUGAAGCGAAGCAACAUUCUUGUUCUGGACGAAGCAACAGCCUCAGUUGAUACCGCUACGGAUGGAAUAAUCCAAGAAACACUACGUGAGGAAUUCAAGGACUGCACUAUCCUUACCAUAGCUCACAGGAUUCACACAGUCGUAGAUAGCGAUCUCAUUCUGGUCCUUAGCGAAGGUAAUUGAAGUUAUGAUCGAUUUAAAUAAAUAUAUUUUGCAGAAAACUUGUGCAUGAUUUAGCUCACAAAGUUUCUUGUUCUUGAGCAGGAAAGAUACUUGAAUAUGACAAACCAUCCACGUUAUUGGAAAGAGAAGAUUCAUCAUUUUCUAAGCUUAUAAAGGAGUAUUCAAUGAGAUCACAGAGCUUUAACAAUGCAACACAGUGCAAGUAACACAACUUAGUCCUGGAUGUUCCUAUCUUUAUAUGUCUGAUGUAGAGACAAUCCUUGGGUCUCCUACGGAAUGAUAUGGGUAAUUUGUGCUAACUCAAUGCCAGGUAGUUGAUUUCUCCGGCAAAGACUGAUAAUCUCAUGGCAAGAAAUGUUCUUCACCGGUCACCAAAGUUCUACCAAGCCAUGCCGACAGGUGUUCUGCAUCAGGUAACAUUGACAAAGUUCCGUUUACAAAACACUACUUGCAAAUUUCACCAAUGUACUUGUAGCAGAAUAUUUUUGACAGAGAAUUGUUCUAGAUGACUUUCCUUGAGUUAUAGUGCUUCACACUAAUAAGCUAAAAGAUUGUAUUAGAUAGGUUUCUUUCCACCGAUAGAUGUUUGCCUAUGUAAUUGUGACAUAGAUUAAAAGUUUGCUUUUACAACUUUCAAGUUCGUCUUGUUGGAUUCCCAUGUCUUAUACUGUUCAAUUUUGAGUUCUCUAGAAAAAGAGAUGGCACUAUAAGAUUAUUUAGGUCAAAUAAUUGGGCAUCACCUCCACAAUAAUUGAACCCCAAACAACUCAAGAUGAAAAGGGGUACCAAUUACCAGUUAGUCGAAGCCCCGACUGCUUGUUGAUCAGAGAGUAAUGCUCACACCACUGACCCGGGAAAAAUAUUGCAUCUACCCCAAUGCCUAAUUGAUUUAGCCGUCUAAAGAAGAAAUCUCUGCAUGGCCUUCCAAAAUUCAACAAAAGCCGAUUCUUGAACACUCCAGUCGCAAGAAAAGGAAGCAAAUCAACUAAUCAUUAACACGAAAAGGAAGUGAAUUGCAUCCCGACAAGGAUCCGAACCCAUGACCUAUUCCACGCCAAAUCAGAAAAGGCACAUCCAGUAAUAGUGAACUAAGAAUACAUUCGACAUUGCCCUAAUCAAUGCGAAAAACCAGCAAAAGAACAAAAUCUUACCAUAACCAUGCUUCAUCUCCUUCCAGAGCAAGCCGUGUCCCCAUCCGCGAGGUGAGGCGACGGCACACAAAUCGUGGCUGCGGGGAAUGGCGGGUCCGCUCACCGUCGUGACGACGACACGAAGGCGGAAGCUGCUUUGAGCCGGCGGCAGCCAGCAGAAGCGUCUCCAAAGACCACCACCGGGCCCGCAUCCAAGAAAACGAGUCGGAAGCUUCCAAUUAGGUCUUCUUUGUCUCGUUC
RNAcentral lists this long non-coding RNA (4981 nucleotides) under Musa acuminata (dwarf banana). RNAcentral describes it as "long non-coding RNA (MACU_LNC006789)". Lineage: Eukaryota; Viridiplantae; Streptophyta; Magnoliopsida; Zingiberales; Musaceae. The record is from RNAcentral.